This 647-nucleotide unclassified non-coding RNA is filed under the name Hevea brasiliensis (rubber tree). The record is from RNAcentral. Lineage: Eukaryota; Viridiplantae; Streptophyta; Magnoliopsida; Malpighiales; Euphorbiaceae.
CGAGCAGAGGCUGUUUGAACUCCUCCGUGCGCGCACCCUGACCUAGCUUCAAAGAGAAAGAAAGCAGCAAUGAAUGCCCCUGACCGCUACGAGCGAUUCGUCGUUCCUGAGGGCACUAAAAAGGUUUCCUAUGAGAGAGACACGAAGAUCAUAAAUGCGGCAUCGUUCACUGUAGAGAGGGAGGACCACACCAUCGGCAACAUUCUUCGCAUGCAGUUGCACAGAGACGAAAAUGUUCUCUUUGCUGGUUACAAGCUCCCUCAUCCUCUCCAGUAUAAAAUCAUUGUUAGGAUUCAUACGACUAGCCAGUCUUCACCAAUGCAGGCAUAUAACCAGGCUAUCAAUGAUCUAGACAAGGAACUUGACCAUUUGAAGAAUGCAUUUGAGGCUGAGAUAGCAAAAUUUUCUCAGGAUUACUAGCACUUGACGCAAUUAAGAACCAAAGUGAACAGACAUUCAGUUGAUUGUGCUUAAUGGAAUUUAGCGGAAAAGGAGCGUGAUUUCAAUGAGACUUUGAUAACUUUGGUGUUGUAUUUAAUUAAUGAAUCAUGGCAGAUCAUCAAAUAUUAAAUGUAUGACAGAUGUUUAUCAAGUAAUGGCAUGCAGAUCUGUUUUGUGUAAAGCUGAAUUUCAUACUCUUUACCAGU